Molecule: ribosomal RNA, 472 nt
Filed under: uncultured bacterium
Lineage: Bacteria
Description: bacterial SSU rRNA
Rfam family: Bacterial small subunit ribosomal RNA
Source: RNAcentral
UGGGGAAUUUUGGACAAUGGGCGCAAGCCUGAUCCAGCCAUGCCGCGUGAGUGAAGAAGGCCUUCGGGUUGUAAAGCUCUUUCAGCCGGAAAGAAAACGGACAGGAUAAUACCCUGUGUGGAUGACGGUACCGGAAGAAGAAGCACCGGCUAACUACGUGCCAGCAGCCGCGGUAAUACAGAGGUGGCAAGCGUUGUUCGGAAUUACUGGGCGUAAAGGGCGCGUAGGCGGCCCUCUAAGUCAGACGUGAAAUCCCCCGGCUUAACCUGGGAACUGCGUCUGAUACUGGAGGGCUUGAGUAUGGGAGAGGGAUGUAGAAUUCCAGGUGUAGCGGUGAAAUGCGUAGAUAUCUGGAGGAAUACCGGUGGCGAAGGCGGCAUCCUGGACCAUUACUGACGCUGAGGCGCGAAAGCUAGGGGAGCAAACGGGAUUAGAUACCCCUGUAGUCCCUGAGCGGGCUGGCAAGGCGCAU